RNAcentral lists this ribosomal RNA (483 nucleotides) under uncultured bacterium. RNAcentral describes it as "partial 16S ribosomal RNA". It matches the Rfam family "Bacterial small subunit ribosomal RNA", at positions 28 to 507 of the family's 1533-position model. The record is from RNAcentral.
GACGAACGCUGGCGGCGUGCUUAACACAUGCAAGUCGAACGCUGAAGCUCAGCUUUUGUUGGGUGGAUGAGUGGCGAACGGGUGAGUAACACGUGAGUAACCUGCCCCCUUCUUUGGGAUAACGCCCGGAAACGGGUGCUAAUACUGGAUAUUCACUGGUCUUCGCAUGGGGGUUGGUGGAAAGGGUUUUUCUGGUGGGGGAUGGGCUCGCGGCCUAUCAGCUUGUUGGUGGGGUGAUGGCCUACCAAGGCUUUGACGGGUAGCCGGCCUGAGAGGGUGACCGGUCACAUUGGGACGGAGAUACGGCCCAGACUACGACGGGAGGCAGCAGUGGGGAAUAUUGCACAAUGGGCGCAAGCCUGAUGCAGCGACGCCGCGUGAGGGAUGGAGGCCUUCGGGUUGUGAACCUCUUUCGCUCAUGGUCAAGCCGCAACAAUGGUUGUGGUGAGGGUAGUGGGUAAAGAAGCGCCGGCUAACUACGUG